Molecule: ribosomal RNA, 509 nt
Filed under: Escherichia coli
Lineage: Bacteria; Pseudomonadati; Pseudomonadota; Gammaproteobacteria; Enterobacterales; Enterobacteriaceae
Description: partial 23S ribosomal RNA
Rfam family: Bacterial large subunit ribosomal RNA
Source: RNAcentral
UGUUUGAUGUUCUAACGUUGGCCCCUGAUCGGGGUUGCGGACAGUGUCUGGUGGGUAGUUUGACUGGGGCGGUCUCCUCCUAAAGAGUAACGGAGGAGCACGAAGGUUGGCUAAUCCUGGUCGGACAUCAGGAGGUUAGUGCAAUGGCAUAAGCCAGCUUGACUGCGAGCGUGACGGCGCGAGCAGGUGCGAAAGCAGGUCAUAGUGAUCCGGUGGUUCUGAAUGGAAGGGCCAUCGCUCAACGGAUAAAAGGUACUCCGGGGAUAACAGGCUGAUACCGCCCAAGAGUUCAUAUCGACGGCGGUGUUUGGCACCUCGAUGUCGGCUCAUCACAUCCUGGGGCUGAAGUAGGUCCCAAGGGUAUGGCUGUUCGCCAUUUAAAGUGGUACGCGAGCUGGGUUUAGAACGUCGUGAGACAGUUCGGUCCCUAUCUGCCGUGGGCGCUGGAGAACUGAGGGGGGCUGCUCCUAGUACGAGAGGACCGGAGUGGACGCAUCACUGGUGUUCGG